Molecule: ribosomal RNA, 531 nt
Filed under: uncultured bacterium
Lineage: Bacteria
Description: bacterial SSU rRNA
Rfam family: Bacterial small subunit ribosomal RNA
Source: RNAcentral
UACGUAGGAUGCGAGCGUUGUCCGGAUUUAUUGGGCGUAAAGAGCGCGCAGGCGGUUAGGAAAGUUGGAUGUGAAAGACCCUGGCUUAACUAGGGGAGGUCAUUCAAAACUAUCUAGCUUGAGGGCAGCAGAGGAAAGUGGAAUUCCCGGUGUAGUGGUGAAAUGCGUAGAUAUCGGGAGGAACACCAGUGGCGAAGGCGGCUUUCUGGGCUGUCACUGACGCUGAGGCGCGAAAGCGUGGGUAGCGAACCGAAUUAGAUACUCGGGUAGUCCACGCCGUAAACGAUGGACACUAGGGGUAGGGGGUAUCGACCCCCCCUGUGCCGAAGCUAACGCAUUAAGUGUCCCGCCUGGGGAGUACGGCCGCAAGGCUAAAACUCAAAGGAAUUGACGGGGGCCCGCACAAGCAGCGGAGCGUGUGGUUUAAUUCGACGCAACGCGAAGAACCUUACCAGGACUUGACAUAGCAGUGGUAGGAACCUGAAAGGGAGACGACCCCGCAAGGGGAGCUGUUACAGGUGCUGCAUGGCU